UAAAAACUCUCCAAAGUGGGAGGGCUAAUUGUGUAACUAGUGAAUAAAAAGGGUUAAUUGAGAAAUUAACAAAACAAAAACACAAACACGGUUGUGUUCGUGCGAACCAGGGGAGGAAGAAAGGGGAGCCAAAAACCCUAACUGCUAGAUAUCAAGAAAUUGAAGCCUAAAUCACAAGAAAAUUCGAUGCAUGGGUCCUCUUUUUCGAAAAUCUAACCCUAACUAAUGAAGUGGAACGUGUCAAGGAGAGCUCAAGCAUAGGAGGAUAACGGGUCAAGAUAAGGCAAGGUGACAAAUACACUUAUUGGAAUACUCAAGGAAGAAACGUGACGCAAAACGGACGAAAAAUGAGAGAGUUAUGUCCGUUUCAGUAAGGAUUAAUGGCUAGGAAAAGUGCAGAGUUGACACGGCCGGGUGGUGAACUGACACGGCCGGGUGAAAGUUCUGUCAAAAAUAUUAUUUAUGUAAUUUAUGCGCCGUAGGCUUCGGUAUAUUAUCCGUGAACUACGACGGGCCUCCCAAACAUGAUUUCGAGUGUUUCCUUGACGAUUAUAAGUUGUAAACCCAAGUCUAAGCCUCGUGUAAUUUAUAUAAGAGUGUGAUAGAUGUAUGUAAUGAAGUUGGACAUGUAUUACAUGUAAAUGUAUACAAAAAUACGUACGGAACACGUAGGUAUGAAUACAUGAUUGUAUGUAUGAUUAAAUGUAUAUUAGGUAUGUAGAUGUGUAUGAUUGUAAGUUUGUAUGUGUGCAAGUAUGUGCGAAUGCAUGAUUUGGAUGCAUUUGAGAAUUAGCGUUACUAAUAAUGCCCUUGGGUUUGGAAUAUAAGUUGAUUGGAUGCAUUUAAAUGGUUAACGUCCUUUUUAUGAAGAUGUAGUAAAUGAAUAUGUUGAGAUUACGGGUUUGGCUAACCAAGUUAUUAUUGAGUAUGUUUGAAAGUGCAGGUUAUGAAUGUCGGACUUUCGAAGUGUUGAUAUAAUAAUGAAACGGUUGAAUGUUGAAAGGAUAAUCGGAUUGAAGUAACUUAUGCGGUUAGAAUAUGCUAUGGACGUUUUAGUUUAUACAAUAUUAUAUGUUUGGUCGUCACCAUCUACUAACAGGUAAUUCCUCAAUUUUGGCGACUUGGAGAAUCGGAGCGAGCGCGUGUUCGUGUUAUGCGAUACCAAACGCUUCCGCUAGCUUGUUCAAAUGUUUUUGAUCCAAAAUUUGUUGUAUUGGUAUUUAGUAGUAUCUUGUUGAACGAAUUGUAGAAUUGUAUCUAGUUUGUUUAUGUUUAAAACAGGGGUAAGCUCGUUUUAUGGACGGGUCAUGCCCGAUUUUUUUGUUAAAUUAUAGUUUGAUAAUAUCACAUUUAGGAAGGUGAAA
Molecule: long non-coding RNA, 1364 nt
Organism: Helianthus annuus (common sunflower)
Lineage: Eukaryota; Viridiplantae; Streptophyta; Magnoliopsida; Asterales; Asteraceae
Exons: 4
Source: RefSeq, a predicted model, not a curated record